RNAcentral lists this ribosomal RNA (468 nucleotides) under Triticum aestivum (bread wheat). RNAcentral describes it as "partial small subunit ribosomal RNA". Lineage: Eukaryota; Viridiplantae; Streptophyta; Magnoliopsida; Poales; Poaceae. The record is from RNAcentral.
AUGCUCAUUGUUUCGAAUUUGAGAACCAACUCACCUAGUUCUCUCUCUUGUUGCCGAGAGAGCUUGCACAGAAGGGAGGUGAAGGUGCGGAGGAAUAUAUGGGGGCGAGCAUGCCUGGCACUCUGGCAUGUUAGAGUGCGCGACCACAGUCAAGGUGGUCGGACACAACAUGUGCAAACUAGUUUGUUGCUUAAAGUUGCCCACUUAAUUAUACUAGUAUACAUGUACGUGCAAAUGCACACAUUGACAUCCCUCGUCCGAUUGGUGCAUUGCACAACAGCCAGCUCAAAACUCCGUCCCAAAUCCCUCUGCGAUGAUGCGAUUAGUACGCGCGCCACCGAUACUUAUGGACCGGCUGCCAAGGCGGCUGAGACAGCCAGCUACAUGCACGGAUGGACGACAACAGCAGCAAGCAUGUGGAUUUUUCCAGCAUUAACAUCUGUGGAUGGUUCUAGAGAACAAGAGUAG